GCCGAAAUAGCUCAGGUGGGAGAGCGUCAGACUGAAGAUCUGAAGGUCCCUGGUUCAAUCCCGGGUUCGGCA
RNAcentral lists this transfer RNA (72 nucleotides) under Dendronephthya gigantea. RNAcentral describes it as "tRNA-Phe". It matches the Rfam family "tRNA". From Rfam's summary of the family: Transfer RNA (tRNA) molecules are approximately 80 nucleotides in length. Their secondary structure includes four short double-helical elements and three loops (D, anti-codon, and T loops). Lineage: Eukaryota; Metazoa; Cnidaria; Anthozoa; Malacalcyonacea; Nephtheidae. The record is from RNAcentral.